UACGUAGGGUGCAAGCGUUAAUCGGAAUUACUGGGCGUAAAGCGUGCGCAGGCGGUUUUGUAAGUCUGACGUGAAAGCCCCGGGCUCAACCUGGGAAUUGCGUUGGAGACUGCAAGGCUUGAAUCUGGCAGAGGGGGGUAGAAUUCCACGUGUAGCAGUGAAAUGCGUAGAGAUGUGGAGGAACACCGAUGGCGAAGGCAGCCCCCUGGGUCAAGAUUGACGCUCAUGCACGAAAGCAUGGGGAGCGAACAGG
Molecule: ribosomal RNA, 253 nt
Filed under: uncultured bacterium
Lineage: Bacteria
Description: partial 16S ribosomal RNA
Rfam family: Bacterial small subunit ribosomal RNA
Source: RNAcentral